CCGGGACUCAUGGGAGACUGCCGGGGUCAACUCGGAGGAAGGUGGGAUGACGUCAAAUCAUCAUGCCCCUUAUGUCUUGGGCUUCACGCAUGCUACAAUGGCCGGUACAAAGGGCUGCGAUACCGCGAGGUGGAGCGAAUCCCAGAAAGCCGGUCUCAGUUCGGAUUGGGUCUGCAACUCGACCCCAUGAAGUCGGAGUCGCUAGUAAUCGCAGAUCAGCAACGCUGCGGUGAAUACGUUCCCGGGCCUU
RNAcentral lists this ribosomal RNA (250 nucleotides) under uncultured Cellulomonas sp. RNAcentral describes it as "partial 16S ribosomal RNA". It matches the Rfam family "Bacterial small subunit ribosomal RNA", at positions 1132 to 1382 of the family's 1533-position model. Lineage: Bacteria; Bacillati; Actinomycetota; Actinomycetes; Micrococcales; Cellulomonadaceae. The record is from RNAcentral.